This 272-nucleotide ribosomal RNA is filed under the name uncultured bacterium. RNAcentral's name for it is "partial 16S ribosomal RNA". It matches the Rfam family "Bacterial small subunit ribosomal RNA", at positions 48 to 339 of the family's 1533-position model. The record is from RNAcentral.
UUAACACAUGCAAGUCGAACGGCAGAGAUCCUUCGGGGUCUUGAGAGUGGCGCACGGGUGAGUAACGCGUGGAUACCUACCUUCCGGUGCGGAAUAACCAAGGGAAACUUGGCUAAUACCGUAUGUGCUCGAGAGAGUAAAGAUUUAUCGCCGGAAGAUGGAUCCGCGUCGGAUUAGCUAGUUGGUGGGGUAACGGCCUACCAAGGCGACGAUCCGUAGCUGGUCUGAGAGGAUGAUCAGCCACACUGGGACUGAGACACGGCCCAGACUCC